This 929-nucleotide long non-coding RNA is filed under the name Marmota monax (woodchuck). Lineage: Eukaryota; Metazoa; Chordata; Mammalia; Rodentia; Sciuridae. The record is from RNAcentral.
AGGUCAUUUUGGUGGAAGGUGGUGGUGUGGAUGGUGCCCGGUACCAAGAACUCAUCAGGGAGGUCGUUGGCCUGAAGCAAAAGAUGCUUAUAGGAAAUUAAAAAUGCAUCUUUUCCACAAAUUGGAGUGGAGUCGGUGUGGCAGAUAAGUGGGAGAGGCUGUGAUCUUGAGAGGGCCUGUGACGGGCACCAGCUGCUGACCUUGGCACUGCCAUUUGGACCUUUCCCAUUCACGCUUAGGGGACUCCUGUCGGGGGUGGGGGGUGCAGGCUGGAACCUGGCAGAGUUCCCAACAUUCUCAAAGCCACAGCAGCAAUGGGUUGCAAGCAGAGUUUCUCAGAAUUUGCCCGAGGCAUCCAGAAUUCUUCUCUGCAGAAUUGCUAUUGCAGAUGCUCAAAAGAGUCAAAACUGAAUGGCAAACAUUCAGUCCUGGGUUAUCCAAGUGCCUAGGUCUUUGCUGGAAACCGAGGACACUCUGAUCUCUCAAACUGCCUAAUUUGAUUUCAUCAGAAACGUAUACAUACAGAAACUUCCCUUGCAGGCUGAGAACCCUGCUGAGAAAUGUUAGUCCAGAGUGCAAUUAGCUGGGGGUGGGGCUGGGGGCGCGUGGAUUCAGCAUUGGAAAAUAAAACUUCACAGGAUAGAGCGUCCUGAUGAUGACAGCAGUGUCAGUUACUCUCUCCUAAUAUGCCUCUAUUUAUCCCAUCAUCUCCUCUGGUUAAUGAACGCGACCUCGGUGCUCCGCUGCCGUUAUUGCUCCAUAAUGGGCCGAGGAGAUGGCCUGUCUUUGCCUUUAUCCCUGCUGGCACCUCCUAGCACUGAAGCGCAUUAAAGUAAUAAAAUUAAGCAGCAAGGCGUCCUCGUCACUCCCACCAUGUUCCCGUAACCCCUUCAUUUACAACAGACGGAGACAGGGGGGAAAAACAAUGU